UCUGUCGUGGCUCGUAUCGCACGCUUCUGUACGAAUUUUUCAGUCGCGCUUUUAAGUAUUGCCUUAAAGUUAUGUACUUUUAAUUAACGUCCUAUAUUGAAACGGAAAUCUAAUGCUGUCCUGUUAAAAGGAAGCAAUGAAAGUGGAAUAACACGUUACCCAUUCUACGAGAGGUGAGUCGCGGCUCUAACAGUUUUAAAGUGGUUUCUGUCAUUGUACAGUUAAAACAAAAGGGACAACAAUGUUUUUCAAAGAGGCACCGUCGCGUUUAGGCGCGGGAAGGUCCAAUAAAAUCAAUGACUGAAGACAAAGAAGUCGACGAGGCUAGAUAAUGGCUAAUGAGACCGACCUGUAUUGUGUGCCGGGAGCGACAAGUUUCAACAAAGUGUACAGCCGUCUCCACGGCUACAUCGCCAUCGUAAUAUGCAUAGUCGGUUCUGCGACCAACUCUAUAAACAUCACUGUUUUGAGCCGACGGGAGAUGUCCAGCCCCACCAACUCCAUCCUCACUGGACUAGCCGUGGCAGACCUCUUGGUGAUGCUCGAAUACAUACCGUAUGUGUUGCAUAUGAAUAUCAAAAUCGGACCGCAAGUGAAUAAGAAUACUUAUGCGUGGACCGUUUUUGUUUACUUUCAUUCCAUAUUCAGUCAGACUUUUCACACGAUAUCCAUCUGGCUGGCCGUCACUCUGGCCGUGUGGCGAUAUAUAGCGAUCGCGUAUCCCCACAGGAAUAGAUCGUGGUGCAGUAAGCGAAAUACUUCCAUCGCCAUCGUGAGUGCCUAUGUGAUCUGCCCCUUUCUGUGUCUACCUAUUUAUUUCGCAAUGAAUAUAGUGUCGAGCGAAGUGACCGCGAAAAACAAUUCCCAGUUCGCGGAGGAUUUGUCGUUACCGCAAAACCGGACCGUUUACGUGUUAGAAAUGUCUAAGAAUAAAGAACUGGUGACGGCCAUUAUGUGGAUUUACAGUGUCAUACUUAAACUCGUUCCCUGUAUAGCGUUAUCGAUACUGAGUUCGUGUCUGAUAUCGAAAUUAACGACCACAGACAGAAGGAGACAGAAACUACUGAAGCGCUCGAGCGUAGGGCCCAACGAGGCUGAAAAACAAUGUUUAGCAGAAGAGUCAAGUGCAGGGCGGUGUUCGAGUCGAACAGACAGAACGACUAGAAUGCUGUUGGCGGUCCUAGGGCUGUUUCUCUCAACGGAAGUGCCGCAGGGCUUAUUAGGGCUAGUCAGUGCUUUAGCGCCUGACUUCUUUAAAAGUUGUUAUAGCAUGUUCGGUGAUCUAAUGGACGUCCUCGCACUGUUCACAUCAUCUGUGAACUUUGUUCUGUACUGCAGCAUGAGUCGCCAGUUCAGGUGUACCUUCGCAAGACUCGUGCGACGUAUAUUGUCAACCGCUGCAGACUCCCCGAAGCUAGCUGUUAAACAAGAAGCAACUACACAGGUAACCGGACCUCUUUAGCGACAAAUCCCCGCCCUCGGCAGGGUGGUGGAGGAGAGUACUGUAUAAGUUGUACAGGUGUUCACGUAGCAAUUUCGUGACGGGUCACUUGGCACAUUUCUCUAUUUCGCAAUUAAGCAUUUUUCUGCGUAACUAGGGUAAGAGUGAAUUUAAAUUACGCGUCUAAUAGACAUUUAUCAAUUAUAUAAGUGUUUAUAAUUUUAGUUGAAUGCGUGUCGAGAUCGCAAGAAUGCUUAAGGCAGAUUGUACGAGAGUCUAGUUCUUGCGUCUCCUGAGCCAUGACGCUUAAACUGAAAUUUAGUAAUAGAAAAGUAGAAGUGGUAACAAUAUUAAGUAGGGUCCAAAUCUAUUAUAUUUACGAUAAGUUUUGUGUAUACAUUUCAAUUGUAAUAUUUAAUCAGAGAGAGGUCAAUUGGAAUAAAUAAAUGUUCUAUUUUGUUGUAUCAAUUGUAUAACCAUAGCCGUAAAUAUUUCCAGAGUUAACGUUUGUAAAUUACUUACGCUAUUAUUUAUACGCAUACGCAUUUUUGUAUCGAUAGAGUUAUAACAAAUUGUUUAAUAUAUUUUAAGGUGGUACAAUACAAUAAAUUAAAAUUUUAUAAAA
This is an RNA transcript of Pieris napi, 2066 nucleotides long. It is a transcript of the gene named G-protein coupled receptor dmsr-1-like, with no coding region annotated. The record is from RefSeq and is a predicted model, not a curated record. Lineage: Eukaryota; Metazoa; Arthropoda; Insecta; Lepidoptera; Pieridae. The transcript has 6 exons.